UACACCCGUUCCCAUUCCGAACACGACGGUUAAGCCUUUUAGAGCCCAUGAUACUGCAGGGGAGGCCCUGUGGGAAAGUAGGUCGUCGCCAGUU
RNAcentral lists this ribosomal RNA (94 nucleotides) under Proteiniclasticum aestuarii. The record is from RNAcentral. Lineage: Bacteria; Bacillati; Bacillota; Clostridia; Eubacteriales; Clostridiaceae.